RNAcentral lists this ribosomal RNA (492 nucleotides) under uncultured bacterium. RNAcentral's name for it is "partial 16S ribosomal RNA". It matches the Rfam family "Bacterial small subunit ribosomal RNA", at positions 29 to 507 of the family's 1533-position model. The record is from RNAcentral.
AGUGAACGCUGGCGGUAGGCCUAACACAUGCAAGUCGAACGGCAGCACAGUAAGAGCUUGCUCUUACGGGUGGCGAGUGGCGGACGGGUGAGGAAUACAUCGGAAUCUACUUUUUCGUGGGGGAUAACGUAGGGAAACUUACGCUAAUACCGCAUACGACCUACGGGUGAAAGCAGGGGAUCUUCGGACCUUGCGCGAUUGAAUGAGCCGAUGUCGGAUUAGCUAGUUGGCGGGGUAAAGGCCCACCAAGGCGACGAUCCGUAGCUGGUCUGAGAGGAUGAUCAGCCACACUGGAACUGAGACACGGUCCAGACUCCUACGGGAGGCAGCAGUGGGGAAUAUUGGACAAAGAGCGCAAGCCUGAUCCAGCCAUACCGCGUGGGUGAAGAAGGCCUUCGGGUUGUAAAGCCCUUUUGUUGGGAAAGAAAAGCAGCAGGUUAAUACCCCGCUGUUCUGACGGUACCCAAAGAAUAAGCACCGGCUAACUUCGUG